GAUGAACGCUGGCGGCGUGCCUAAUACAUGCAAGUCGAGCGAACAGACAAGGAGCUUGCUCCUCUGACGUUAGCGGCGGACGGGUGAGUAACACGUGGAUAACCUACCUAUAAGACUGGGAUAACUUCGGGAAACCGGAGCUAAUACCGGAUAAUAUAUUGAACCGCAUGGUUCAAUAGUGAAAGACGGUUUUGCUGUCACUUAUAGAUGGAUCCGCGCCGCAUUAGCUAGUUGGUAAGGUAACGGCUUACCAAGGCAACGAUGCGUAGCCGACCUGAGAGGGUGAUCGGCCACACUGGAACUGAGACACGGUCCAGACUCCUACGGGAGGCAGCAGUAGGGAAUCUUCCGCAAUGGGCGAAAGCCUGACGGAGCAACGCCGCGUGAGUGAUGAAGGUCUUCGGAUCGUAAAACUCUGUUAUUAGGGAAGAACAAAUGUGUAAGUAACUAUGCACGUCCUGACGGUACCUAAUCAGAAAGCCACGGCUAACUACGUG
Molecule: ribosomal RNA, 497 nt
Filed under: uncultured bacterium
Lineage: Bacteria
Description: partial 16S ribosomal RNA
Rfam family: Bacterial small subunit ribosomal RNA
Source: RNAcentral